Molecule: ribosomal RNA, 3059 nt
Filed under: Triticum aestivum (bread wheat)
Lineage: Eukaryota; Viridiplantae; Streptophyta; Magnoliopsida; Poales; Poaceae
Description: partial small subunit ribosomal RNA
Source: RNAcentral
UGCGGUAACGUCAGGGUUGGUGCUUGCGGCUGCGGCCGACAUCGGCAGUGCGGCGGUCGGUAGGUACGGAGCAUCGGCAGCGUCGGUCACGAAGGGGUGACUUGCUCGCGGUUCCUCUUUGUGGCGACAGAAAGAUGUACCACCGGCGAGGGGAGCUAGGGGAGGUAGCGGAGGCGGCGGCGGCUCCAUGCUCUAGCGGAGGUAGAACAAGGAAGGGACCGGUGCGGGGAGGGUCAAAGAAGGGGAGUAGGUCGAUCCCAAGAGUGGGCGGCGGCGAAGGGACGACGAUGGGCGGUGGCCUACGGGAGGUGCCUGUGGUGGUGGUACUACCGCCUUACUUCUCGUUCUCCCCAGCAGCUCCUACCCACGGCAGCACUCCUACGACCACGGGCACACGCCACUACCGUAACACCGCCUUCUUCCAGAAGAAGGACCCCUCGGCGAUGGUCGGAGGCAGAGGUGGGCGCCGGUGCGAUUUUUCUGUCCAAGUCCAAGCUAUACAGUCCAGACUUCAUGCGAGGACUCAAUUUCUUUCUGGAGCUCUCUGAGACAUCUCAUAAACACUACAUAGGAAGUGAAUGGCACGGUGCCCCAACAGCGCCUAUAACCACCUCCUGAACCACCUGAUCGCGUUUUACCUUUAGAUAUUUCUUCACUUUGAUUAGUCGAUACCAAGAGGACCUCAUAAACACGUUGGUCGUCCGGCGGGUACUCUUUAUACUACAAGAAAUACGUAAAUUUUUUGAUGAUUUCCCUUUCAACACUUACACAUUCAAAACGUGGUCAUCUAAGACUUAAUACAACAAAUACGAAAAUUUUCUAUAUGUUAAGAACUUGGAAAAGUCUUAAUACAUUAGUAGGGGAGUUUGAGUCACAUAACGUCUCGCAUACGCAGUCUCCGGUCAGCCGUCUCCACGUACGUCCAAACACGAACUCCCACGUGCGCUCGGCCGCCGAUGUCCGUCUCCCACGUCGGACACACACGCACAACACCAGCGGACUAAACUAACAUUUAGCACAUCUCGUUUCCGCCGAAGACACCGCGGCCUCGUUGUUAAAGUCACUCGUGUACCUGAACUACGUCCCUCCCAGCAGCUUCUCUUCCUGCCGCCGGGUCGGAUGUGUACUACCUUGUGUGUAACGGCUGCUACGCCAUGGUCCGGACCUCUUCUCUAGGGCUCCACAAACUACUUUACUGGAAGCAGGCUUUUAUGAACAGUAGUUUUACUUAUUUUCCUCUAGUGUUACAACCUGUGCUGGUGGAUUCUUAGUUUAUAAAAAUCAACCUUAUGAUAAAAUUACUAGUUAGUGUUACAACCUGCGCUGGUGGAUGAAUAAGGGCUCUGAAAUUCAGAAACCACCGAAUUCGUGUUAUACGGGCCGUAUACAAGAUGUAGACGCCGUACAUUACUGGGAUGACCGUAAAGUUCUCCAGACAUUUAUGUUGUGAGAAGGUUUCAUAAAGGUUCAUUCACAAGUGGAGCACUCUAAAUAAUUUACAAAAUCUAUAGAGCGAACACUUACGAGUAGCCAUCGAUUAUAGGGCUCAUAAAACUAUUGCCCAAAUCUAGACCUGUCAAUAACUCGGACGUAACUACUUUAUCAACUGUUUCUUCCUUGACUUUACUCCAAUAACUCCGACGUAAAUUCUUAAAACCAACUACUCGACUAUAGACUGGUUUUUGAGUUCUUGAUCUUCGUUCGGACUGUAGGAAAAAGACAUUAGCCAUAUAAGAGCCAUCGUUCGGACAGUAGGAAAACAUAGGUGUACUCCGAAUCCCCGGCAAACCUAAUCGUGGUUGCAGCUAUGAUACUCGUCACUCGUUCAGUACAUAUUUCGUUUUUGUUUUAUAACCAGACGAUAGUUUACCAUGUAAAUAAACUUGAGAUUCCCGUCCAAGUCCCAGAGUACUUCUCCCGUACACAAACAUAAUCCACUCUAGACUUGACUAAGACUGAUUACACUUUAAUUAAAACAACAACUACCUAGACGUUAAUAAAUACACGUGUCUUCACGACAUCAACUCUUCGGACUCUUCUUAUAUAGUGAAUCCAUGUCUAAGCUCGAUCCCAAAAAGUAAAAGAGGAAGGUUAGGUAAAUAAUACGCUAUUAAACGGGUAUUUUCUGUAUGUACUACCAGCAGCAACCUGUCUGAUAUAAACAAAUGAAGAUGGGUAUUUAAAUUUCAGGACUUGUACAUAUAAUGUGUAGAGAACGUCCUAUAUAAUUAUAAUUUGAUACACACGCAAGGUGACGUAAGUAGAUAAAUUCCGUACUAUAAACAUUCGAACCAAGUCCGACGGCGCGUAGAUAGAUAUAUUACGUGUUAUAAAGAUACGAACCAAGUCCAACAAAGGCUGUUGGUAACCGUUAGACAGGGAUACAGUAAGGAGAAUAUAUAUGUAUUCUUGACAGAUGUGUCUAGUCUCACACACAUACUCCCAGCAAAGGUAAACACAAGACAAGGGAAAUAACAAAAUAGUUACAUUUUGGGAACUUUUUAAUAGGUAAGGAAAAAGUGUCUAGUCUUCCAAAACGUCAACUGUUCGAAUGUCCAAACUCGUGGGGUUUGUUGCCCCACCCGGGAAACUGGACACCCAAGACGACCAUGGUUCUCUUCCUCCAAGGAAAAUUGGACGUCCUCGAGACGGUUACCGUCGCACGAAAGGAACUGUUACUACACCAUGACGUGCAUGUGUUGUACGUCGUUCACUUUAGCCGCGUUCUCCCGUAGAACGUUCGUCGUGGUUUAGGAUAUAAUACCCUGGCUCACUCAUAGAGUUUCUUCUUUAUUAAAAAAACUACAUCCUUAUAGACAUCCGACUAAUACGAAACUACAUAUCUAGCGUCAUCGUGAAUCUAUUUUAUAUUCAAGAAUCGGUCAAGUUAUCAUGAAAACAGCUUGUUUCGAGUUAACUGUAAUGCGCUUUUGGAACUCUUAUGGACUCCCCUGUUCCGUUCACAACAAACAUUACUGAACACAAUACUAUAACGUUUUAUCUAAUCUGCCUUUUCAUGUAUCGUAACGGUACCUUAUAAAUUAUGAAAAUCUAGACGG